UACGUAGGGUGCAAGCGUUGUCCGGAAUUAUUGGGCGUAAAGAGCUCGUAGGCGGUUUGUCGCGUCGAAUGUGAAAACCCGGGGCUCAACCCCCGGGCCUGCAUUCGAUACGGGCAGACGUGGAGUUCGGCAGGGGAGACUGGAAUUCCUGGUGUAGCGGUGAAAUGCGCAGAUAUCAGGAGGAACACCGGUGGCGAAGGCGGGUCUCUGGGCCGAUACUGACGCUGAGGAGCGAAAGCGUGGGGAGCGAACAGG
This 255-nucleotide ribosomal RNA is filed under the name uncultured bacterium. Its description in RNAcentral is "partial 16S ribosomal RNA". It matches the Rfam family "Bacterial small subunit ribosomal RNA", at positions 524 to 776 of the family's 1533-position model. The record is from RNAcentral.